This is a long non-coding RNA of Micropterus dolomieu (smallmouth bass), 396 nucleotides long. RefSeq lists it as uncharacterized. The record is from RefSeq and is a predicted model, not a curated record. The transcript has 2 exons. Lineage: Eukaryota; Metazoa; Chordata; Actinopteri; Centrarchiformes; Centrarchidae.
AGCACUUCACUGCACUUCAGAGACUCAUCCAUUCUCAGAUUAUUGGUUCCCCAUUUUAAGAAACAUUGUUCCCGUUGUGCUGAUGACAAUGCUGCUGCUGCUGCUAGGAGUACUGCACUGUGGGAAACUGAGAGGGUCCAGAAGCAGAUGUGUCACGUGCUGUGACUGUACAGAGGCGUGAAGAUUCUCACAAGUCAAAUGAUGACAGUCUGCAAACCACAGCUUUCUUUUCAUUUAUGUCUAUAUUCAAUAAUCCACUUUGACACUAGCUCUGACACCCUCUGCAGAGUCACCACAGCAUCUACACCUCCAUGAACAGACUCUGUGGUUGACUGUGGACACACAUAUAAAUGUGUCCUUCAAUAAUCUUUAUUAAAAUGGUCCUCAGAGCAUCAA